CACGUAGGGCGCAAGCGUUGUCCGGAAUUAUUGGGCGUAAAGAGCUCGUAGGCGGUCUGUUGCGUCCGCUGUGAAAACUCGGGGCUUAACCCCGAGCCUGCAGUGGAUACGGGCAGACUAGAGGUAGGUAGGGGAGAAUGGAAUUCCCGGUGUAGCGGUGAAAUGCGCAGAUAUCGGGAGGAACACCGGUGGCGAAGGCGGCCCACUGGUCCGGUACUGACGCUGAGGUGCGAAAGCGUGGGGAGCGAACAGG
RNAcentral lists this ribosomal RNA (253 nucleotides) under uncultured bacterium. RNAcentral describes it as "partial 16S ribosomal RNA". It matches the Rfam family "Bacterial small subunit ribosomal RNA", at positions 524 to 776 of the family's 1533-position model. The record is from RNAcentral.